GGGCUCGCUUCCACAGCACGUACACUAAAACUGGAACAUACAGAGAUUAGGAUGGCCCCUGUGUAAGGAUGACAUGCAAAUUCCUGAAGUGUCCCAUUUAAAA
Molecule: small nuclear RNA, 103 nt
Filed under: Mus spretus (western wild mouse)
Lineage: Eukaryota; Metazoa; Chordata; Mammalia; Rodentia; Muridae
Source: RNAcentral